This 305-nucleotide long non-coding RNA is filed under the name Erythranthe guttata (spotted monkey flower). Its description in RNAcentral is "long non-coding RNA (EGUT_LNC001111)". Lineage: Eukaryota; Viridiplantae; Streptophyta; Magnoliopsida; Lamiales; Phrymaceae. The record is from RNAcentral.
UCAAAUCACGUAGUAAAGGAAAUAAAUGCCGAUUAAAAAUAAAACAGGGGUGUUAAAGGAAAAUUAUAUAAUAUAUUUUGCCAAGUUGGCAAAAUUGGGUGUAUCUCAAAAAGGGGAAAAAAAUUUGAUCUACCUCAUUAGAAAAUAUGAACAAGAGGGUUAUCCCUAAUAAACCCUAAAUUUAAUGACCUUAUUCAAAAAUCCUGUUUGUUUAAUUUAAUUAAAAUUCAUAAUUAACGAGAAAAAUAUUAAAGAAAGAACUGACAAUUUUAUUCAAACAACAUAUUUGUUACAUUUAAUCAAAU